Oncorhynchus keta (chum salmon) is the source of this 241-nucleotide long non-coding RNA. RefSeq lists it as uncharacterized. The record is from RefSeq and is a predicted model, not a curated record. NCBI's taxonomy places the organism in Eukaryota, Metazoa, Chordata, Actinopteri, Salmoniformes, Salmonidae. The transcript has 3 exons.
UCUAUGGUGCUGAACAGGAAGCUCUGCUGAUAGCCAGGUGUAGUGGUGGUAAGGAUUCACUCUGGUGCUGAACAGGAAGCUCUGCUGAUAGCCAGGUGUAGCAGUGGUAAGGAUUCACUCUGGUGCUGAACAGGAAGCUCUGCUGAUAGCCAGGUGUAGUGGUGGUAAGGAUUCACUCUAUGGUGCUGAACAGGAAGCUCUGCUGAUAGCCAGGUGUAGCUGUGGUAAGGAUUCACUCUAU